This is a non-coding RNA of Mycobacterium kansasii, 45 nucleotides long. Lineage: Bacteria; Bacillati; Actinomycetota; Actinomycetes; Mycobacteriales; Mycobacteriaceae. The record is from Rfam.
GUCGGGGUAGUGACCGGUGAACAUCGUGGGGCGGCUCGGCACACA